Molecule: non-coding RNA, 4278 nt
Organism: Macaca mulatta (Rhesus monkey)
Lineage: Eukaryota; Metazoa; Chordata; Mammalia; Primates; Cercopithecidae
Source: RefSeq, a predicted model, not a curated record
AUUAGCACUCUGUAAAACACACCAAUCAGGAGGAUCCUAAGAGUAGCCAAUCACAGGGAGGAUUAAAAAAGGGCAUUGUGAUAGGACAGAAACGGAACAUGGUAGGGGACCAAUUAGGGAAUAAAAGUUGGCCACCCCAGCCAGCAGUGGCACUCGGGUCCUCUUCCAUGCUGUGGAAGCUUUGUCCUUUUGCUCUUCACAAUAAACCUUGCCACUGCUCACUCUCUGGGUUCGUCCCAUCUUUAAGAGCUGUAACAUUCACUGCCAAGGUCAGUAACUUCAUUCUUGAAGUCAGCCAGACCGGGAACCCACGGGCGGAACCAACUCCGGACACACCGGGCCCACCACGGGGAAUAAUACUGUAGACUGGAGGAUCUGCGGAGUCACCGGUCUGGCCCCUACAGGAAACCAGACGUAUGCUAGAGAACGACAGUGAUGACUGCAAAUUCACCAAGCGAUGUGUGAAUAGCCCUUACCACAGCAUCUGUGCCAGAUGUGGGAUCUUGGCUAGAGCAGAUUGACAUGGCUUCAGGAAUCUGGGCCAUGUUAACUAUACCACUUCUGUCAUGAGGGAUCAAAUGGACAUUGCCGUCAGAGCCUCAGUCAGCAUCACAAAACUCAGAAAGCAUUUGAUAUCCUCCUUCAGGAUCCUGUGUGACAGAGCAUGGGACCAAGGGCCUCACCUCGCAGCAAAGGAGGCACCACAGUGAACACAGGCCGAUGGGAUUGACCAGUUCUGGCACAUCCCCGUGAUAGAGCAUUGGAAAGUGCGGCUGAAGCAUCAUCUGGAGAGGAUGCUCUGAGAGGGUGGGAGGCCAUCCUCCACAACACAAUACUUACCCCAGACCAACGGCCAAUGUGUGUUGCUGUGUCUCAGUCAGUAGAAAUCAUGGGUCCAGGAACCAAGGCACAGAAACAGGAGUGGCAUUGCUCAUCGUAACACUUAGCGGCCCACCCGGGGACUCUGUGCUCCCUGAGUGCUCAGCAUAGGGGGUCUAAAGGUCCUGGUGCCCGGAGGAGGAAUGCUUCCUCCAGGGGACAUGGCAAAUUCCCUUUUCAUGUUCAGUGACAGGUGCUGUCAAGCCUCCCAGCUCCUAGGUCUAGAGACUGGUGGGGAGUAGGGGAGUCUCCAUCCUGCACAGGUCAUCAAACCUGUGCUGUCACACACUGGGGCAGAGAGGAUGUGUUUAGCAUCCAGGUGAUCUACUGGAUCAUUUCCUGGUACCUCCCUGCCCAAUUAUGAUGACAAAUGGACAAGGCCAGGAGCCACAGCUUGAGAAGGGCAUGACAACUCUCUGGGGCGAGAGUCGGCGCCACCCACCAUGUGAGCCCCUAGAGCAGCAGAGGCACUAGCCAAGGUGGAGGAGAACCUGGAGAACCUAGAAUGGGUGGCAGAGGAGGGAGGUGGUGAGUACCCGUGGUCCUGAGCCCAGCUGCAGCACAGGCACUGUGAUCACCCCUUUCGCCUUCUUCCUCUUGUAAGUAUUCCUGGGAAAAAAGAGACAAGGCAGUGUCCUGGGGGAGCUGUUCCCAGGUAGAACGGGACGCUACAAAACAAAUGGAUGCAGCUGUGGAGAGGGACGCCUGUAGAGGAUGCUAUAGAGCUGCCCAGCUCUGCCCUUCAAGGUUGAGGCCCCCAUUUCCCAGCUUUCAGGGGUGGUGCCUGCUGAUGGCUCCUGGCUGAAACCCUCCCCAAGAAUUGUCCUCUGCAGCCUAAAGGAGCUGCCCUGCCCGCGGCCAUGCCUGCUUUUCCCCGGGGCAGCUGCAUCUCCCAGCUGGGACCACACGGCAGUACAAAAGCCUGGGCUCCCUAGUCUCAAUUUGGGACAACACUGAGGGGCCAUCCCAGCCCCAGAGCUGCCUGUGGGAACAGCCACAGCCCCCAUUGUAGUUGCAUCCUAGUCAACUUCCCCCUCUGUCCAGCAGCCUCUCUCACCCCUUCCGGGUGGCGAUGUUCCCAGGUUCUGCCCUCAUCAACCCACCAUGUUCAUUUUUCUACCCCGAGUCUGGUUCCGGGGCGCCGCACGUGAGAUGGCAGGACUUGGGCACCUAGAGUCGUGUGUCUCAACAUGACAACUGCUUACUUCCUCAUUCCCUUUCCACCUUUCUGAAAAAUAUCAUUCUUCUUCUGGUAUUUCUCUAACAUCUCUUUCACACUUCCUGAUUCCCCUUGUUCACAGGAAGAGCAGCUGGCAGGUUCAUAAGAAAUUCAUGAGCCCAUGCUUCUUUUAUUUAUUUUUAUGGUUAACUUCUAUUUAUAACAAGGAAUGCUGGUUUUCCAUUUAUACUUGAGAUUUAAAGAUUCUGUUUAAAAUAAAUUUAAGUAAAACAGAGUGAGUGGGUUUUUAAAAAAACAGCUAAGUAAAUGAUAGCGAUGGCAGGCACGGUGAAGGUGGUUCACUGAAGGAUGGCGACCUGGGCAAUGCCUACACCAGCAAUUUCUCCGCCUGGGAGCCCCUCUGAGUCAGGUGAAUAAGCGCCCUGCAAAAACCAGCCCCAAGACUCCAUUCUUUGCCAAGGCACUGGCCCCUGCGUUUCAGAGAUAGUCGUGUCUUCUCGUAAGAUAUGUCCCACUGUGUGGAAUAAUCUUUCUCCACGUCUCAUCUGCAUCAGGCCAGCAAGGGCCUCGAGCGCUGAAUCUUUCUUACUCCCUGUUGUUGCUCAGGACCCCAUGUGGGCCGAGACACAGGGCAGGAUUUUAAAGUGGCCCCCAGAAUUCUGCCCCUGGUGCAUUUGCCCAUGGCAAUUCCAUCCUGAGUUGGGGUGGGGCCUUUGAAUAUGACGCAUGUCACUCCUGGGAUUCGCUUGUGUUAUACGGCAGAGGUGAUGAGAUUUUGUAUGUAUGUAAUUUAAGGCCCCAAACCAGCUGAUUCUGAUGGAAUGAAAAGGAAGAUUAUCCUGGGUGGGCCUGCCUUAAUCCGGUGACAGCCCUUGAAUGGAGGCCUAGGCCCUUUAUGAAGAGAGGGCUCCCAUGCUGGCCGUGUCCUGAGAAAGGGUCCUGUCAUGGGUCUCUAGGAGCUGGAGCCGUCGCUGAUGACAGCCCACAGGAAAGCGGGGCCCUUGUACUAUAGCUGCUAGGGGCUUGGGAGAGGGAGGACUUGGGCUCUGGAAAGGUCUGCAGCCUGGAGAACACCUGGAUGGCAGCCAUGUGGGAACCUGACUGGAGGCCCCAGCCAAGCUGUACCCAGACUCCGGGUCCAUGGAAGUUGUGAGAUAACACAAGUGUGCUGUUUUAAGCUGCUAAACUUGUGGACGUGUGUUAUGCAGUGUUAGGAAACUGGCACGGCAGCCUGGCAGACAUUGGCCGAGCGAGUGUGCAAGCCUGCAGGGCAUCCCGCCCACCGGCUCCUGAGAUUCACGGGCACUUUCCACCUGGGGAGAUGAGGCUGCCAGUGCAGGGAAGGGUUGGCAGCUGCUGCUGCCAUUGAAUUGCCCCUUACCUCACAUGGUGCAGACAACGAACAGGCCGGGCACUGCUCAGGGUCACUUAAGGUGGAGCAUGUCUGGGAACCCCUCUGAGCCUGGCCUCCUCAACCAUGCUUUCGGUGCUGGCCAGCGCAGUGCCCACUCCGUGACCUGGAAGGCAUCACAAUCUCCUUUUUCUUUGGUGACUUCAGCUGUCAAUGGAUCUCCCCACACUGCCGCCUCCCCAUGGGGUCUGAGCAGCAGGUGGAAUGUACCCUUCCUCUUCUCACCCACCCUCUGUCUCUGGGACACAGCGGCUCACCCCUCUGCCCUGGGCAGCCCUUCACCCUGGAGUUCUGCCUUGGGCACUUUGAUGGCCUGGCCCCUCGCCCCAGUCUCCCCUACUCCACCCUCCACCUUGCCACUCCACCCCUCACUCGCUGUUUUGUCUGCCUGCAUGGCUUCCUGCCUUCUUUAUUUUUGAAAUAGCUCUCUCCUUUCUGUGGAAGAAGACUUCCCCCAAACCGCACAUGAGGCUCGUUGGAGCUGCCUGUCUGAGAGGCUGCCUAACUGCCAUGCCAGGGGGUUGGUUUAUGACCUUGCCGGUCCUAACACCUUCCCCCAGCCACAGUGAAUCCCAGGAUAAAUCCUAAGUUGGGUUUAUCAUUGUUCUAUAGGAUUCUCCUAAGCAGACUUGGUGGUGAGAGCCCUGCUCUUCAGUUUGCUGAGGUGGAGUAAUGUCAGGUGGCCAGACCUGGCUGGUGCUGCCAAGGUCCCUGUAAUACAGAGACACCUGUCUCUAACUGAAGGGAACUGAGGCAGCAGAGGAGAGGAGGAGGCAGAGGAGCAGGAAGAAGAGAAGGAGGAGGAGGA